RNAcentral lists this ribosomal RNA (212 nucleotides) under uncultured bacterium. RNAcentral describes it as "partial 16S ribosomal RNA". It matches the Rfam family "Bacterial small subunit ribosomal RNA", at positions 1281 to 1500 of the family's 1533-position model. The record is from RNAcentral.
GCCGUUCUCAGUUCGGAUCGGAGUCUGCAACCCGACUCCGUGAAGCUGGAUUCGCUAGUAAUCGCGCAUCAGCCAUGGCGCGGUGAAUACGUUCCCGGGCCUUGUACACACCGCCCGUCAAGCCAUGGGAGCCGGGGGUGCUUGAAGUGCGUCGCCGUGAGGCGCGCCCUAGAGCAAAACCGGUGACUGGGGCUAAGUCGUAACAAGGUAUC